This 253-nucleotide ribosomal RNA is filed under the name uncultured bacterium. Its description in RNAcentral is "partial 16S ribosomal RNA". It matches the Rfam family "Bacterial small subunit ribosomal RNA", at positions 524 to 776 of the family's 1533-position model. The record is from RNAcentral.
UACGAAGGGUGCAAGCGUUACUCGGAAUUACUGGGCGUAAAGCGUGCGUAGGUGGUUUGUUAAGUCUGAUGUGAAAGCCCUGGGCUCAACCUGGGAAUUGCAUUGGAUACUGCCGGACUAGAGUUCGGAAGAGGCGAGUGGAAUUCCCGGUGUAGCGGUGAAAUGCGCAGAUAUCGGGAGGAACACCUAUGGCGAAGGCAGCUCGCUGGGACGUUACUGACGCUGAGACGCGAAAGCGUGGGGAGCAAACAGG